GGGGAAUUUUGGACAAUGGGGGCAACCCUGAUCCAGCCAUGCCGCGUGAGUGAAGAAGGUCUUCGGAUUGUAAAGCACUUUAAGUUGGGAGGAAGGGCUGCAAGUUAAUACCUUGUAGUUUUGACGUUACCAACAGAAUAAGCACCGGCUAACUACGUGCCAGCAGCCGCGGUAAUACGUAGGGUGCGAGCGUUAAUCGGAAUUACUGGGCGUAAAGCGUGCGCAGGCGGUUUUGUAAGACAGGCGUGAAAUCCCCGGGCUCAACCUGGGAACUGCGCUUGUGACUGCAAGACUAGAGUACGGCAGAGGGGGGUGGAAUUCCACGUGUAGCAGUGAAAUGCGUAGAGAUGUGGAGGAACACCAAUGGCGAAGGCAGCCCCCUGGGUCGAUACUGACGCUCAUGCACGAAAGCGUGGGGAGCAAACA
This 426-nucleotide ribosomal RNA is filed under the name uncultured Rhodocyclaceae bacterium. Its description in RNAcentral is "bacterial SSU rRNA". It matches the Rfam family "Bacterial small subunit ribosomal RNA", at positions 356 to 774 of the family's 1533-position model. Lineage: Bacteria; Pseudomonadati; Pseudomonadota; Betaproteobacteria; Rhodocyclales; Rhodocyclaceae. The record is from RNAcentral.